RNAcentral lists this transfer RNA (63 nucleotides) under Entosthodon laevis. RNAcentral describes it as "partial tRNA-Phe". It matches the Rfam family "tRNA", at positions 1 to 57 of the family's 71-position model. From Rfam's summary of the family: Transfer RNA (tRNA) molecules are approximately 80 nucleotides in length. Their secondary structure includes four short double-helical elements and three loops (D, anti-codon, and T loops). Further hydrogen bonds mediate the characteristic L-shaped molecular structure. tRNAs have two regions of fundamental functional importance: the anti-codon, which is responsible for specific mRNA codon recognition, and the 3' end, to which the tRNAs corresponding amino acid is attached (by aminoacyl-tRNA synthetases). tRNAs cope with the degeneracy of the genetic code in two manners: having more than one tRNA (with a specific anti-codon) for a particular amino acid; and 'wobble' base-pairing, i.e. permitting non-standard base-pairing at the 3rd anti-codon position. Lineage: Eukaryota; Viridiplantae; Streptophyta; Bryopsida; Funariales; Funariaceae. The record is from RNAcentral.
AACAAGCCGGGAUAGCUCAGUUGGUAGAGCAGAGGACUGAAAAUCCUCGUGUCACCAGUCAAA